Molecule: non-coding RNA, 136 nt
Organism: Triticum aestivum (bread wheat)
Lineage: Eukaryota; Viridiplantae; Streptophyta; Magnoliopsida; Poales; Poaceae
Source: Rfam
UGUGUACUCCCUCCGUUCCAAAAUACUUGACUUCCAUUUGUCCAAAAAUGGAUGUGUCUAUAUACUAAAACAUGUCUAGAUACAUAUAUAUUUUGACAAAUAGAAGGCAUGUAUUGUGCAACGAAGGGAGUAGAAU